AUUGUGUUUGUGGUUGAUUGAUUUGCUUGCAGGUUCUGACAUUAAGUCCUAAGUCUGGCUUAGGUACCGGAUUAGGCUUGAUGUGUAUUUUGUUAGUGUAGGCCUGACGUUGGCCUGUAUGUGUUUGAGUGAUUGCUUGUGAAGGGUGGUGGAUAUUAAAGCUAUGCGGUAUCAUUGGUUGGCCGAUCAUGUUCUUGUUUGAUUGUUGGUCGAUCAAUUAAUGAUACUUGUAUAGUCUAAGUGUCUAACACUACAUGAGUAUUGAACUCAGGCGUAUAUAUGGUUAACUAGGAAUUGCUUGUUGACUUGUUUUAAUGCAGGUUCCCGUUACUUGAAGCUAGAUCAUGGCAGGAGGCCAAGUCUAACUUAGUAACGGUUUGCUUAGCCUUAGCUUUUAUUGCAUGCUAGGGCUAGAUUGAUUGUUAUUUUGGGUUGUCUGGGUAGAGUCUAGGUUGCGUGUAGAGGCCGCCAGCUCACUGAGUAAUACUAGAUUACUCAUCCAACUCCGUUGUCCUUUUUGCAGGCCGCUUUAGGUAAGGAUGAUCGGAUAGCUUCGUGCUGGACGUUAGGACCGCCGGUGUAGAUUUUCAUGCCUUUUGUAAACGGUAUUGUGAAUUGUGUUAUGUUGACUCGAUUUGGCAUUAGGCCGGGCCCAGUCUUGAAUUAUUUAAUGUAUGAAUAUUUCUUGAAUCAAUAAAAGUAAUUGUUUUAUAUGCGCUUCAUGAGUACUCUGAUAUUUGACUAGUCCGGUCUAACACAACGUUAGGUCGAGGUACGGGUUGAAAAGCCUUAGGCCUUGAUCUAACGGAAAACGUUAACUCUAGGUACGGGUUGCAAAGCCUUAUGCCUUGACGCAGCGGGACGAGUUAGUGGAUGAACUGGUCUAGGUCGUGGAGUAAAGUUUGUGACUCUGACCGGAUUGUCCCUAUCCCGUCACGUAGCGCUUCCGGACCAUGGUGUUGGGUUGGACGGUCAGUCAUGUUCUUGUUUGAUUGUUGGCUGGCCGGUUGACCUUUCAUCUCCAACCCUUGGUGUGGGUCGUCUGUCGGUCAUGUUCUUGUUUGAUUGUUGGCUGGCCGGUUGACCUUUCAUCUCCAACCCUUGGUGUGGGUCGUCUGUCGGUCAUGUUCUUGUUUGAUUGUUGGCCGGUGGGUCGACCUAUGCUUAGGACGGUUCGGGGGUGUUACAGAGGUGGUAUCAGAGCAUGGUUUCGUCCAUGCUUCCGGAACUCAUGAUUUAAUCGGUUUUAAAUAUUUAUCGAGUCAAAAUGAGUCACAAAAGGCAUUAGGGAAACCGGUCACGUCCAGCGAUAGGAUUUGUGGUUUUAGGAAUUAGGAUUGAGAUAGUGGAAUCUAGAAUUGCUAGGUUGCUUGGUUAGAACUGUUAGGUUGCUGGUUAGAAUUGCGGUUAGGUUGCAUUGUUAGUAUUUGUUGGGUUAAUUGUCUACUAACUUGCAUGUGAAGUGUUCUUUUGAGUUGCAGCUUGUGUGUUCGUUGAUCGGAACUUUAAGGAAUGGAAACCUUAAAAUGAAAAGAGUUCAAGGCUAAAAGCCCAAAGUGAAGAGAGAGAGAUUCAGAGGGACUGGACAGUGGUAUGGACUGGACAAGUAUGAGCAAGACUUCGUUGAGAAAGGACUUCAUCAGUUUUGGGAAAAGAAAGGUUUCAGUGAUCAGAAGCAAAGAUGGUGCACGUUAUGGCAGAGUAAAUGCAAGAAGACGAUUCAGUAUUCAUCAAGUGAAGAGUUUUGUGGCAACUUUGAGAACGAGACUAAUGGGAGAGCAGUAGAUACGGUAAAGCAAUAUGAAGAUGAAUUCAGCAUGAGAGUGAAGCGAUAUGGAGAUGAGUUAAGAAUGAGUGAAGCAUGGGAAAUCAAGAAGUGAAGGACGGAUUCAAGAAUAAAGGAAUGCUUUGAGAUGUAUCAAGACGGAGUGAGUUCAGAACCAGAAGUUUGGGUGGAGACCAGAGAAACCGAAAGGAGGAAACCAAGGGCAAACCGAUAAAGAAGCACAUCAAGUGAUCAAGACCGCGAGACAAGUGAUCCAAGGAGAAAUUUUCAUCAAGGGGAUGAACAUGUCGUGAAGCUGAGCCAUUGGACAACUAAGAAUUCGAGGACGAAUUCUAUUAAGGGGGGGGAGAAUGUAGAAACCCGUUAAAAAAAAAAAAAAAAAAAAAAAAAAAAAAAAAAAAAAAAAAAGAGAGAGAGAAUGGUCGAGUAUCUUUGUGGUUGAGUCGCGGGCAAUACAGAUCGAUCGGGAAAUUUGAAGUACGAGAAGGUCGAAGAAUGGAUCGUGAGUGAAGCAUGAGUUGAGUUAAGCUGCUCUACCAUUGUUAGAAAUGUCUUAGAUUGAUCAUACGGCAGUUUUGAAAGAAUUACAUUUUUGAAGCACGACGGUUUAGAAGCUCGACGUUUUGGAAGAUUGACGUUUCUUCAUCGCGAAGUUUUCUCGGAAUAUCUUCGUAUCAGUAAAAUAUUAUUCUGAAGACAUUAUAAGUCGGAAGCAGGACGGGAAUUAAGCAGGACGGGAAGCAAGCACGAUGGGAUUGAAGCACGACAGGAAAACCCAAAGUUGGGCGAAAACCCUAAUUUCGGUAUUACGAAAUUCUUUGAGGAAGCCGGAGGCUCGGGAAAUAUUUUUAAAGGAUAUCAGACAUCAUCUGAAGUUUAUUAAAAAUAUUCAAAGAAUCAGAAUGGGAGCGGAAAAAUAUUCGGGAUUGAUCGCGGGUCAGAAAUUCACAAGAAGGGUCUAAAUCGCGCAAAGGAACCGAGAAGCUCGAGGUGGCUUGAUCUAAGGGAUAUGAACGUGGUGGCAACUGUCUAACCAGCUGAGUGUCAAGAGAAGUUCGAGGUGUCGCCGUGCAUGGAAUCUGCACAUGCAGCUUGACAUGUAGAAGCACGAGGUGGAUUGGCCAAGCCCGAGAUGUCGCGACGCAUGCAACCGAAGCAUGCUGAUCGACAUGUGUGAGGAUGUGUGGCGCCUUGCAUGAGCUCCAGUCAUGCAGCCUGACAUCUGGGAGGAGUGGUGGAUUCCUGCAUGUGUCCUGUACAUGCAGCCAGCCAUGUGGAGCACGAGGUGUCGCCGUGCAUGCGUCCGGAGCCAUGCAGAGCGACACACGGGCUGCCACCAACCUGAAGCUGAUUGGCUGGUGUCUCCUAUAAAUACCCCACGACCCCAGCUCAUUUCUUCAAAUCCAGACCUGUCCAAACCAAGUUAAAACCUUGAGAGAAAAGUAGAAAAAGAAAGUAAGAGGUUCUGAGCUAUUUCGAGAGUUUUAGAGAGUUUUCGAGAUCAGUUUCUCUACUGAUUUCAAGUCAGUGCCUAGGGAAGGUUCUGGCCAACUGAAGAUCAAUAAAUUGAAGACCAAUUCAGAUGGGAAGCAAGGCAACGUGGUUAGAGAGAGAGAGAGAGAGAGAAAGAGAGUGUAGCUGAGUUCCGAAGAUCGAUACUUCACGAAGAAGCGAAGUUCUGUCUGCAAUUGUUAUGCGGAAGCUCUGCCCAAAUCAAUCUGUCCACUCUACUCAUAUUCUUUGAUGAUAAAGUGGAGUUGCUGUCCAAGAUCAGUUCAGUUCCAUGGUUUCAGCUCAGUCGAGGUUAUGAUUCGAUACUCUGUUCAGAUUUCAGAAGAAUUGUUCAGACGCUAAGGAAGGUGCUGUUCAAGUUGCGUUCAGUCCAGACCAGUAUCAGGGGAGGUUCUGUACAAGUCAAGAUCAGUCCAGUCCAGUCCAGUCAAGGCGUCCCUUGGGUUUUGGCCAUGUCCUCUCCGAUCAACCAGCUGCUUCUUGCCUAGAACACUGUGAGUUGGUUUGUUUGAAUUCCACUUGGAAUUUAGGGUAGAUCGAGUCUGCAUAUAGAUUAGAAUGAUCACAUUAUUGAAUGGUAGAGUCCUUAGGGUUAUUUUAUUUAUGGAACCGGACUUAGUUUAGCAAGGGCUAAGCUGAGAUGAAUGGAUGAUCAGUUCUCUAUUGAUUUCGAGUCAUCGCCUUGGGAAGGUUCUGUCCAACUGAAGGUCAAUCAAGUGAAGAUCAGAUCAGAUGGGAGUCAAGUCAACGUGGCUAUAGAGAGAGAGAGAGAGAGAGAGAGAAAGGAAGUGAUCGAUUCUAGAGUAUGGUCGAUUCUGAAGACCGAUACUCCACCGAGAAGGCCAGUUCCGUCCAAUCGGCGAUUCUCUACGAUUGUGACGCGGAAGCUCUGUCCAAUUCAAUUCGUUCAAGCCAGUCAUAUUCUAUGAUGGUCUAGUGGAGGUGCUGCCCAGAGUUAGUUCAGAACCACGGGUUCAGAUCAGUCGAAGUUCUGCUCGAUACUCCGCGGGAAGUCCGAAGAACUGUCCAGAAGCUAGAGGAGGUUCUGUCCGAGUCCAGAUCAGCCUGUCGAGGCCUGUCAACUUCUUCAUGGUGAAGCCAAGGUUGUGUCCAAGACAAGAUCAGUCCAUUCCAGUCCAGUCAAGGCGUCCAUUGGGUUUUGGCCAAGUUUCUUCAUGGUGAAGCCGAGGUUGUGUCCAAGACAAGAUCAGUCCAGUCCAGUUCAGUCAAGGCGUCCCUUGGGUUUUGGCCAAGUCCUCUCUGAUCAACCAGCUGCUUCUCGCCUAGAACACUGUGAGUUGGUUUGUUUGAAUUCCACUUGGAAUUUAGGGUAGAUCGAGUCGCAUAUAGAGUAGAAUGAUCACGUUAUUGAAUGGUAGAGUCCUUAGGGUUAUUUUAUUUAUGGAACCGGACUCAGUUUAGCAAGGGCUAAGCUGAGAUGAAUGGAAUUAAGACUGAGUUAAUAACCUGACUAAGACUAGGGCUAGGGCUAGGAUGCAAUUAAGACUGAGUUAAUAACCUGACUAGAACUAGGGCUAGGAUGCAUCAUGUUUUCUAUUCUUGCGUGUUGAUAUGGUUGAGUGCAGGUUCCCGUUAUCUUUAAGGAUAGUUUCAUAGCAGGAGGCUGGACUAUCUGGAUAACGGUUUGAUUUAUUUGUUUAGUAUUGAUAUUAUUGUUUAGUUAUUAGUACUAAGGGUCUUAGGCCAUAAAGGCCGGACUACUGGUACUAUGGUUAGUCUUGUGGAGUCGAGUGUCUAGUUAGGAUCUGGAACUUUGGCUUUAGGUUAGGUUCUAGAUUGAGUUUGUUUUGUUGUGAGUGUGCCGACAGUAUGUGCGAAACCCGCCCAUACUAGGCUUGUGUAGGGGUGAUUAGUGUUUCCUCGGCCUCGUACCCAGCGGGUUCAAGGAAACCCCUUAUUCGCUGGAUCGGGAAGACUCAGAGAGACGGGAUCAUGGCCUAGGGCUGAGUUAUUACACGACGGUGUAAUGUGGCAGUGACCCUCAUGUACUAUGGCUGAGUAUUACACGACGGUGUAAUGUGGCAGUGACCCGAAGGACUGUGGGCUGUCGCGCGGUGACCCGAAUGACUGUGGGCCGCGGUCGGUUGAAAGUUCCUUCUUCUGGCCUUUGUGGUAGGGAGAUAGGAUAUUGCCGAUAGAGAGGAGGAACACGAAGUCACCAGGGCCCAGGUUAGAGUGUUGUGUUAGUGUGUCGUAGAGGGUUAUAGAACCCUCGAGUUAGUGUAGCACCGAUAUACGGUGUUACAAGUUAGAUCGAGUCGUAGUUACUCAUAGUCUUAUUAUUGUGAUUGUGUUUGUGGUUGAUUGAUUUGCUUGCAGGUUCUGACCUUAAGUCUAAGUCUGGUUUAGGUACCGGAUUAGGCUUGAUGUGUAUUUUGUUAGUGUAGGCCUGACGUUGGCCUGUAUGUGUUUGAGUGAUUGCUUGUGAAGGGUGGUGGAUAUUAAAGCUAUGCGGUAUCAUUGGUUGGCCGAUCAUGUUCUUGUUUGAUUGUUGGUCGAUCAAUUAAUGAUACUUGUAUAGUCUAAGUGUCUAACACUACAUGAGUAUUGAACUCAGGCGUAUAUAUGGUUAACUAGGAAUUGCUUGUUGACUUGUUUUAAUGCAGGUUCCCGUUACUUGAAGCUAGA
RNAcentral lists this long non-coding RNA (5947 nucleotides) under Brassica napus (rape). RNAcentral describes it as "long non-coding RNA (BNAP_LNC001623)". Lineage: Eukaryota; Viridiplantae; Streptophyta; Magnoliopsida; Brassicales; Brassicaceae. The record is from RNAcentral.